This 445-nucleotide ribosomal RNA is filed under the name uncultured Propionicimonas sp. Its description in RNAcentral is "bacterial SSU rRNA". It matches the Rfam family "Bacterial small subunit ribosomal RNA", at positions 338 to 795 of the family's 1533-position model. Lineage: Bacteria; Bacillati; Actinomycetota; Actinomycetes; Propionibacteriales; Nocardioidaceae. The record is from RNAcentral.
CCUACGGGGGGCUGCAGUGGGGAAUAUUGCGCAAUGGGCGAAAGCCUGACGCAGCAACGCCGCGUGCGGGAUGACGGCCUUCGGGUUGUAAACCGCUUUCAGCAGGGACGAAGGGUUUCUGACGGUACCUGCAGAAGAAGCACCGGCUAACUACGUGCCAGCAGCCGCGGUGAUACGUAGGGUGCGAGCGUUGUCCGGAAUUAUUGGGCGUAAAGAGCUUGUAGGCGGUCCGUUGCGUCGGAAGUGAAAACUCGGGGCUUAACCCCGAGCCUGCUUUCGAUACGGGCGGACUUGAGGGAUGUAGGGGAGAACGGAAUUCCUGGUGGAGCGGUGGAAUGCGCAGAUAUCAGGAGGAACACCAGUGGCGAAGGCGGUUCUCUGGACAUUUCCUGACGCUGAGAAGCGAAAGCGUGGGGAGCAAACAGGCUUAGAUACCCCAGUAGUC